GGUNNAGGGCGAANCUGACCAGCAUGCCGCGUGGAGGGANGACUGCCUUCGGGUUGUAAACCUCUUUUCUUGGGGAAGAAACCAUG
This 86-nucleotide ribosomal RNA is filed under the name uncultured bacterium. Its description in RNAcentral is "partial 16S ribosomal RNA". The record is from RNAcentral.